RNAcentral lists this ribosomal RNA (390 nucleotides) under uncultured bacterium. RNAcentral describes it as "bacterial SSU rRNA". It matches the Rfam family "Bacterial small subunit ribosomal RNA", at positions 28 to 416 of the family's 1533-position model. The record is from RNAcentral.
GAUGAACGCUAGCGGUGUGCUUAAUGCAUGCAAGUCGAACGGGAUCCCAUGGAUUCGUCCAGGGUGAGAGUGGCGGACGGGUGAGUAACGCGUUGGUGACCUGCCUCGGAGAGGGGGACAACCAUUGGAAACGAUGGCUAAUACCCCGGAUGUUAUCGAGUUUAGAAAUCGAUAACUAAAGCUCUGGCGCUCCGAGAGGGGCCAGCGUCCCAUCAGCUUGUUGGUAAGGUAACGGCUUACCAAGGCUCAGACGGGUAGGGGGCGUGAGAGCGUGACCCCCCCACACUGGUACUGAAACACGGACCAGAUACCUACGGGUAGCAGCAGCAAGGAAUAUUGCGCAAUGGGCGAAAGACCUGACGCAGCCACGCCGCGUGAGCGAUGAAGGCC